Molecule: long non-coding RNA, 3180 nt
Organism: Sapajus apella (tufted capuchin)
Lineage: Eukaryota; Metazoa; Chordata; Mammalia; Primates; Cebidae
Exons: 8
Source: RefSeq, a predicted model, not a curated record
CACAAGUAGCUUGGACUACAAGCAUGUACCCUUGUGCCCAGAAAUAGAUAAUAUUAAUAACAGCAUACAGAUAUGAAAAUCAGUUUUCAGGAAUGCAAUGCCAUGCAAUAGGGUUCAAAUUAUCAAGUGAGAGUGCAAAUCCAAGGAAAACUGGGAAGAGAGGGAUUUAGUGACACAGCUCUCUCUUGUUCAUUCUUGGUGAUCAUCACUAGAUUCUGGUCUUACAAGACUGGCCAGAUGAGGAAUAUGAUUUCUAUAAGAAAUGAGAGAUCUGAGAAUGAAGGUACUCUCUAAGUCAGUGACCCUUCAUCAGAAUUUCCCCACCUCAGAUCCCCCAAGUCAGAAUCUCUGAAAAUAUCAUGUGGACAUAUGAAUAGGGUAAAGGAUGACGGAAGUGUUCAUACAUAUUAACAUCCUUAAAAGCAUCUAAUAAUCAACUGCAUGCCCACUUAGAAAACAUAAAGACCAAAGGCAUAUUUUUGUAGGUAUUCUAUAGUUAUGGAUAUUGUAAAUAAACAUGCUUGUUGGGGGUACUCAUCAUUUGUCUCUUUUGUAAAGUCUAUAGUUCUGAAGUGAUUGGCUGCCAUUGCAUUUUCUCCUCUUUUACUUAAAGUAUGACCAGAAUAAUUAAUGAAUGAGGCUAAUCUAGGAAGCAAGUAAAAGGGGGCUGAUAGAGGGGCACUAGAUCAGUGGAAUUGUUGAGUGCCUUAAAUCUCAAAGCCUUCUGCACAAUACAACUUACUUUAAAUCUUCCCUUUCAGAAGGCAUCAAAUUCAGAGAGGAUAAGAUGUAUGCAUUUGAUAGAUGCAAGUGUUUACCUUAAGACUGAAGUUCUGUUUCCUUUAUGCUCAUGUUGUACCAGGAACAACCACGGAAUUUUUAAACACACUAUAGUCUGCUUCCGCAGCUCUCUGUUUAUUCAGUAUUGCUUUAGAAUUGUUUAUAUCCCUGUCUGGAAGAAGUCAUUCUGCUUCUCAGACAAUAUAAAAAAAAAGUCAGAAAUAUCAGCUAAAGACGUGAGUUUUUUCAAACAGAAGAAAAAUCUGAUAGUGUAUAUUCAAAUGAACUGAUUUGGAAGCAGGAAGUAAAUUUCAGAACUAUAUAAAUAAGUUAGAAAAGCUUAAAAAUAUUAUCAGCCUGGAAUUCACCUAAAAUUUGUUAUAAAGUCCUUUUGGAUAUCAUAUCUUUUUGAAGGAAUACUGGCUAAAAAUUUAAUAUGGGUCUUUCAGUAGUGGUAUUAUACAUAACAUUGGUAUUUCAGUGGUGAUAUUAUAUAUAACAACUCAUUUCUUAUUUUUGCCAUUGACUUAAUCUAGAGCAGUGUUUCUCAAACAAUUUUCCUUUGCAACAUGCCAAACUUAGAUUUUUCAACUUCUAAAAUCCAGCAACAGAUCUCUUUUCACUCUAAAUAAUAAUAAUAAAAAAACCUCAAGUACUUUUUUAUUUAUUUACAGGUGUUAUUUAUCUGCUCAUAAAUGCUGAUAGUCAAGAACAAAAUGAACAAGUCACAAGAUAUUGAAAACAAACAUCCUUAGGAGCAGCUGAUCCUGGUGUGCCAGGCUGGCUUCUUUGAGAUGUGAAAUUGUGAUUCUUCAUUAUAUUGCUUAAGUCAAAUGUCACGUGGUAUGAUAGGAGGCGUGUUCCUAUGAUAGAAUUAUCAUCAGCAGUAGGAAGCCCAGAAUCAAAAUGGACACUCAGUUGGAGCAGCCGCACUAGCCUGCCAGACAUAGGUGACAUAUCCAAGUGCUUGUCCUUCAUCAGAUGUUUCUAUAAGCAGCAGAGCAGAAAGCUCUAAUAUCUAUUCAUUCGUAAUGUGUCAUUCUGAAUGUAUUAAGGAUAACUGACUUCACAUGUCAUAGGUAAUUAUUCUAAGGAGAAACAGUCAUAUCAUUUUAAGGACCAUUGUAUGCAGUUAUCUCCAUGGAGGAAUAAAAAGAACAGGUACUUCUGGAACAGAGGCUACAUCUUAUUCCAAGUUUUUAAUGGGUUCAGAAUAUUUUGGCCAUGUCUACAUGAUAAAAAUAAAAUGUUUUCCCCACUCAAAGCAACUGCAGAUUUGUGAAUGUGGGGUGUGUGUGUGUGUGACAGAGAGAGAGAGAGAGAGAGAGAGAGAGAGAGAGAGAGAGAGAGAAACACAAAAAUGGCUAAGCUCCCCCUGACCUACCUUCUCAUUUCUGAAACUGAAACUGAAAAUUCCUUGCUUGGGACACUAGGGAUCUGUUCUGUCUGGGCAUGCAGCCGUAUUGGGGGCAUGCCCAAGGGGACUGUGCCUUAGCUCCUAAAGUAUGCUGCCCCAGGACACCAGUGCCCCCAUCCCUUCUUGUCAUCCAAGUUAACUACAAUCUGAGAAUGUCUCCUGAACAUGCAUCUGAUGAUAAUCUCUCAUUGUAAUGAUUGCCGAGAAAGUAACCAAGGUGUGGCUUUAGAACAAUCCGUUCUUUCAAAAUUAUAAAACCACUCUAAGGAAACCUUAAUUUUGGUGUCUAGAAUUAAAACAAAACAAAAAUAAAAACAAAAAAACAAAAACACUUGCAGUUUCAGAAAGGCCUUUGUUCCAAACACAGUCUCUAACUCUUCUCUCCUGUUCAUUUGCCACUGGCUGUGUCUCAACCAAUGAGGUGCUCCUGCUCAAAAGCUGAGAGCUCUGCUGACCCUGUUUCUGUCCAGUCAAAACACACCUGUCUUCAAAGAGCCAUAUGUUUCACAGGAAGAGUUCAUUCCCCUCCAUACCCAGAAGAAGGCUGAUACCAUGUGUUUCUCUAAACUUGGACGCAAGGAAGAAGAGUCCAAAAUAUCAACAGGGAAGAAUCUGCAAGGAAUAACCGAGAAGAAAAACUAACAUCUUGCAUCACAGAGAGUUGGUUUCCCCUUUAAACUCUUCCACCAACUUGGAGGGCACCAGCAUGGAAAAAUACAGAAUAGAAGUGGUUACUGGUAUCAGAAGAAAACUGGAAUUCUACAAAUAUACAUCAGGAUCCUACUCUGUCCCACUAUCAUUUUCAUUUAAAUAGCCACAGGUGGCUAAUGGCUGUCAUAUUGGACAAUGUGCCAGGGAUCAAUGUGCCACCUUCAUCAUGUGAGGAUACAUGCAGCAAGAAGACACCAUCCAUGAGGCACAGGCCCUGACAGAUACCAAAUCUGCUGGCACCUUCAUCUUAGACUUCCCAGCCUCCAGAACUG